RNAcentral lists this ribosomal RNA (453 nucleotides) under uncultured bacterium. Its description in RNAcentral is "partial 16S ribosomal RNA". It matches the Rfam family "Bacterial small subunit ribosomal RNA", at positions 30 to 523 of the family's 1533-position model. The record is from RNAcentral.
AUUGAACGCUGGCGGCAUGCCUUACACAUGCAAGUCGAAUGGAAUCCUUCGGGAUUUAGUGGCGGACGGGUGAGUAACACGUGAGAAUCUGCACUCAGGAUGGGGACAACAGCGGGAAACUGCUGCUAAUACCCAAUGUGCCGAAAGGUAAAAGAUUUAUCGCCUGAGAAUGAGCUCGCGGCCGAUUAGUUAGUUGGUGGGGUAAUGGCCUACCAAGACGGCGAUCGGUAGCUGGUCUGAGAGGAUGAGCAGCCACACUGGGACUGAGACACGGCCCAGACUCCUACGGGAGGCAGCAGUGGGGAAUUUUCCGCAAUGGGCGCAAGCCUGACGGAGCAAGACCGCGUGGGGGAGGAAGGCUCUUGGGUUGUAAACCCCUUUUCUCAAGGAAGAACAAAAUGACGGUACUUGAGGAAUCAGCCUCGGCUAACUCCGUGCCAGCCGCCGCAGUAA